Molecule: ribosomal RNA, 492 nt
Filed under: uncultured bacterium
Lineage: Bacteria
Description: partial 16S ribosomal RNA
Rfam family: Bacterial small subunit ribosomal RNA
Source: RNAcentral
AGUGAACGCUGGCGGUAGGCCUAACACAUGCAAGUCGAACGGCAGCACAGUAAGAGCUUGCUCUUACGGGUGGCGAGUGGCGGACGGGUGCGGAAUACAUCGGAAUCUACUUUUUCGUGGGGGAUAACGUAGGGAAACUUACGCUAAUACCGCAUACGACCUACGGGUGAAAGCAGGGGAUCUUCGGACCUUGCGCGAUUGAAUGAGCCGAUGUCGGAUUAGCUAGUUGGCGGGGUAAAGGCCCACCAAGGCGACGAUCCGUAGCUGGUCUGAGAGGACGACCAGCCACACUGGAACUGAGACACGGUCCAGACUCCUACGGGAGGCAGCAGUGGGGAAUAUUGGACAAUGGGCGCAAGCCUGAUCCAGCCAUACCGCGUGGGUGAAGAAGGCCUUCGGGUUGUAAAGCGCUUUUGUCGGGAAAGAAAAGCAGCAGGUUAAUACCCCGCUGUUCUGACGGUACCCAAAGAAUAAGCACCGGCUAACUUCGUG